This 586-nucleotide ribosomal RNA is filed under the name uncultured Halorubrum sp. Its description in RNAcentral is "bacterial SSU rRNA". It matches the Rfam family "Archaeal small subunit ribosomal RNA", at positions 54 to 641 of the family's 1478-position model. Lineage: Archaea; Methanobacteriati; Methanobacteriota; Halobacteria; Halobacteriales; Haloferacaceae. The record is from RNAcentral.
CAAGUCGCACGAGUUCAGACUCGUGGCGAAUAGCUCAGUAACACGUGGCCAAACUACCCUUCGGACCACUAUACCCUCGGGAAACUGAGGCUAAUAGUGGAUACCACAGUCCACCUGGAAUGAGGACUGUGUCAAAUGCUCCGGCGCCGAAGGAUGUGGCUGCGGCCGAUUAGGUAGACGGUGGGGUAACGGCCCACCGUGCCAAUAAUCGGUACGGGUCAUGAGAGUGAGAACCCGGAGACGGAAUCUGAGACAAGAUUCCGGGCCCUACGGGGCGCAGCAGGCGCGAAACCUUUACACUGCACGACAGUGCGAUAAGGGAAUCCCAAGUGCGUAGGCAUAGAGCCUACGCUUUUGUCUACCGUAGGGAGGUAGACGAAUAAGGGCUGGGCAAGACCGGUGCCAGCCGCCGCGGUAAUACCGGCAGCCCGAGUGAUGGCCGAUCUUAUUGGGCCUAAAGCGUCCGUAGCUGGCCGCACAAGUCCAUCGGAAAAUCCACCCGCUCAACGGGUGGGCGUCCGGUGGAAACUGUGUGGCUUGGGACCGGAAGGCGCGACGGGUACGUCCGGGGUAGGAGUGAAAUCCC